AGUGAACGCUGGCGGUAGGCCUAACACAUGCAAGUCGAACGGCAGCACAGUAAGAGCUUGCUCUUACGGGUGGCAAAUGGCGGACGGGUGAGGAAUACAUCGGAAUCUACUUUUUCGUGGGGGAUAACGUAGGGAAACUUACGCUAAUACCGCAUACGACCUACGGGUGAAAGCAGGGGAUCUUCGGACCUUGCGCGAUUGAAUGAGCCGAUGUCGGAUUAGCUAGUUGGCGGGGUAAAGGCCCACCAAGGCGACGAUCCGUAGCUGGUCUGAGAGGAUGAUCAGCCACACUGGAACUGAGACACGGUCCAGACUCCUACGGGAGGCAGCAGUGGGGAAUAUUGGACAAUGGGCGCAAGCCUGAUCCAGCCAUACCGCGUGGGUGAAGAAGGCCUUCGGGUUGUAAAGCCCUUUUGUUGGGAAAGAAAAGCAGCAGGCUAAUACCCCGCUGUUCUGACGGUACCCAAAGAAUAAGCACCGGCUAACUUCGUG
RNAcentral lists this ribosomal RNA (492 nucleotides) under uncultured bacterium. RNAcentral describes it as "partial 16S ribosomal RNA". It matches the Rfam family "Bacterial small subunit ribosomal RNA", at positions 29 to 507 of the family's 1533-position model. The record is from RNAcentral.